CUUUGGGAUGCCAGUAGAUGGCCCACCAUAGCUCAAAAAUGAAAUGGAUGCCAAGAUGGCUGACACAGAGACUGGGGUCCAAUCAUGCCCUCUGAGAUUCCAGUAGACAGGACCAUGAAACUCCUCCUCAGCAUCCCAUAUGAGGCAAACCAGUGUCUAACAACACAGCAGCUGAUCUAACGACCAAGGAUCCCUCAUGAAAACUACAAAUGUGCAUAAUUAACCAAACAGACUAAUACUUACAGAACAUUUUUAAAGAUGGAAGAUCAGAGCACUCUUGAACUAGGCAAAUAAACUAUGUGGGUAGCUUC
Molecule: long non-coding RNA, 311 nt
Organism: Peromyscus eremicus (cactus mouse)
Lineage: Eukaryota; Metazoa; Chordata; Mammalia; Rodentia; Cricetidae
Exons: 2
Source: RefSeq, a predicted model, not a curated record